GACUGUUGUCAUAUCCUAAACUAACCUUCCUUCCUUCCUUCCNUGAGGCUGGAAAGGUGCGUGCUCGGAUUGCCGGAGGGCCGGUCUCGACCCGUGCGUACGGAAAUGAAGCUGCCGUUUGUGACGAGCGUGGGCAUCAGGAAGCCAGAUGAAUUUUUUUGGGAGUCUGUAAGAGCAUCAAGUAACUCUGUUCAGUCUCCUGUAUCUCGUCACCUAUGAAGAAUGUUAGAGUUGAAAUUUCAUGUUCAAUAGGACCAACUGUCGGACAACUUUAUCUUCUGGUCACAGAGAGCACCAAGUGCAUGUCCCAGAGGAGCAGCAUCCAGGACGCAUAACUUCUAGCAACAUUCCUGACAUCAAUAAUUUCAUCUGACCCAGAGCCCCACAGCCUGCUGGUGAAUUAAAGAUCUACAUGAAUGUUCUCUGGAAAAAAAGGGGGUAAGUGCC
RNAcentral lists this long non-coding RNA (447 nucleotides) under Zonotrichia albicollis (white-throated sparrow). RNAcentral's name for it is "lncRNA (ENSZALG00000017649.1)". Lineage: Eukaryota; Metazoa; Chordata; Aves; Passeriformes; Passerellidae. The record is from RNAcentral.